AAUCGUUAACCUUUCCAGAUCACCUUGGCUGCAACAUUCGCUUCCUCCUUGACCACGGAUGUACUGGCAUCGAAGUGGAGCGGAUGACGAAAGGCCGGUUUGUUCCGGCCUUUUUGUCUU
Small RNA from Rhizobium tibeticum, 120 nucleotides. It matches the Rfam family "Alphaproteobacterial sRNA ar35". The record is from Rfam. NCBI's taxonomy places the organism in Bacteria, Pseudomonadati, Pseudomonadota, Alphaproteobacteria, Hyphomicrobiales, Rhizobiaceae.